RNAcentral lists this transfer RNA (69 nucleotides) under Rattus norvegicus (Norway rat). It matches the Rfam family "tRNA". From Rfam's summary of the family: Transfer RNA (tRNA) molecules are approximately 80 nucleotides in length. Lineage: Eukaryota; Metazoa; Chordata; Mammalia; Rodentia; Muridae. The record is from Rfam by way of RNAcentral.
GGGGAUUUAGCUCAGCGGAAGAGCGCUUGCCUGGUGAGCACAAGGCCCUGGGUUCGGUCCCCAGCUCCG